GAUGAACGCUGGCGGCGUGCCUAAUACAUGCAAGUCGAGCGAACGGACGAGAAGCUUGCUUCUCUGAUGUUAGCGGCGGACGGGUGAGUAACACGUGGAUAACCUACCUAUAAGACUGGGAUAACUUCGGGAAACCGGAGCUAAUACCGGAUAAUAUUUUGAACCGCAUGGUUCAAAAGUGAAAGACGGUCUUGCUGUCACUUAUAGAUGGAUCCGCGCUGCAUUAGCUAGUUGGUAAGGUAACGGCUUACCAAGGCAACGAUGCAUAGCCGACCUGAGAGGGUGAUCGGCCACCCUGGAACUGAGACACGGUCCAGACUCCUACGGGAGGCAGCAGUAGGGAAUCUUCCGCAAUGGGCGAAAGCCUGACGGAGCAACGCCGCGUGAGUGAUGAAGGUCUUCGGAUCGUAAAACUCUGUUAUUAGGGAAGAACAUAUGUGUAAGUAACUGUGCACAUCUUGACGGUACCUAAUCAGAAAGCCACGGCUAACUCCGUG
Molecule: ribosomal RNA, 497 nt
Filed under: uncultured bacterium
Lineage: Bacteria
Description: partial 16S ribosomal RNA
Rfam family: Bacterial small subunit ribosomal RNA
Source: RNAcentral